This 444-nucleotide ribosomal RNA is filed under the name uncultured bacterium. RNAcentral describes it as "partial 16S ribosomal RNA". It matches the Rfam family "Bacterial small subunit ribosomal RNA", at positions 354 to 796 of the family's 1533-position model. The record is from RNAcentral.
GUAGGGAAUAUUGGGCAAUGGUCGGAAGACUGACCCAGCCAUGCCGCGUGCAGGAAGACGGCCCUCUGGGUUGUAAACUGCUUUUAUCUGGGAAGAAAAAGGCCAUGCGUGGCAAAUUGCCGGUACCAGAUGAAUAAGCACCGGCUAACUCCGUGCCAGCAGCCGCGGUAAUACGGAGGGUGCGAGCGUUGUCCGGAUUUAUUGGGUUUAAAGGGUGCGUAGGCGGCUGAUUAAGUCAGCGGUGAAAGACUUCGGCUUAACCGGUGCAGUGCCGUUGAUACUGGUUGGCUUGAGUGUCGGAGGGGUACAUGGAAUUGAUGUUGUAGCGGUGAAAUGCAUAGAUACCAUCAGGAACACCGAUAGCGAAGGCAUUGUACUGGCCGACAACUGACGCUGAUGCACGAAAGUGUGGGAAUCGAACAGGAUUAGAUACCCGGGUAGUCC